GACGAACGCUGGCGGCGUGCUUAACACAUGCAAGUCGAACGGAAAGGCCCUGCUUUUGUGGGGUGCUCGAGUGGCGAACGGGUGAGUAACACGUGAGUAACCUGCCCUUGACUUUGGGAUAACUUCAGGAAACUGGGGCUAAUACCGGAUAGGAGCUCCUGCUGCAUGGUGGGGGUUGGAAAGUUUCGGCGGUUGGGGAUGGACUCGCGGCUUAUCAGCUUGUUGGUGGGGUAGUGGCUUACCAAGGCUUUGACGGGUAGCCGGCCUGAGAGGGUGACCGGCCACAUUGGGACUGAGAUACGGCCCAGACUCCUACGGGAGGCAGCAGUGGGGAAUAUUGCACAAUGGGCGGAAGCCUGAUGCAGCAACGCCGCGUGCGGGAUGACGGCCUUCGGGUUGUAAACCGCUUUCGUCUGUGACGAAGCGUGAGUGACGGUAAUGGGUAAAGAAGCACCGGCUAACUACGUGCCAGCAGCCGCGGUGAUACGUAGGGUGCGAGCGUUGUCCGGAUUUAUUGGGCGUAAAGGGUUCGUAGGUGGUUGAUCGCGUCGGAAGUGUAAUCUUGGGGCUUAACCCUGAGCGUGCUUUCGAUACGGGUUGACUUGAGGAAGGUAGGGGAGAAUGGAAUUCCUGGUGGAGCGGUGGAAUGCGCAGAUAUCAGGAGGAACACCAGUGGCGAAGGCGGUUCUCUGGGCCUUUCCUGACGCUGAGGAGCGAAAGCGUGGGGAGCGAACAGGCUUAGAUACCCUGGUAGUCCACGCUGUAAACGGUGGGUACUAGGUGUGGGGUCCAUUCCACGGGUUCCGUGCCGUAGCUAACGCUUUAAGUACCCCGCCUGGGGAGUACGGCCGCAAGGCUAAAACUCAAAGGAAUUGACGGGGCCCCGCACAAGCGGCGGAGCAUGCGGAUUAAUUCGAUGCAACGCGUAGAACCUUACCUGGGUUUGACAUGGAUCGGGAGUGCUCAGAGAUGGGUGUGCCUCUUUUGGGGUCGGUUCACAGGUGGUGCAUGGCUGUCGUCAGCUCGUGUCGUGAGAUGUUGGGUUAAGUCCCGCAACGAGCGCAACCCUUGUUCACUGUUGCCAGCACGUUAUGGUGGGGACUCAGUGGAGACCGCCGGGGUCAACUCGGAGGAAGGUGGGGAUGACGUCAAGUCAUCAUGCCCCUUAUGUCCAGGGCUUCACGCAUGCUACAAUGGCUGGUACAGAGAGUGGCGAGCCUGUGAGGGUGAGCGAAUCUCGGAAAGCCGGUCUCAGUUCGGAUUGGGGUCUGCAACUCGACCUCAUGAAGUCGGAGUCGCUAGUAAUCGCAGAUCAGCAACGCUGCGGUGAAUAAGUUCCCGGGGCU
This 1346-nucleotide ribosomal RNA is filed under the name uncultured bacterium. RNAcentral's name for it is "partial 16S ribosomal RNA". It matches the Rfam family "Bacterial small subunit ribosomal RNA", at positions 28 to 1381 of the family's 1533-position model. The record is from RNAcentral.